UACAGAGACUGCGAGCGUUAUUCGGAUUCACUGGGCGUAAAGGGUGCGCAGGCGGCCAAGUGUGUUAGGCGUGAAAGCCCGGGGCUUAACCCCGGAAUUGCACCUAAAACUACAUGGCUAGAGCAUUGGAGAGGGUAGCAGAAUUCACGGUGUAGCAGUGAAAUGCGUAGAUAUCGUGAGGAAUACCAGAGGCGAAGGCGGCUACCUGGACAAUUGCUGACGCUCAGGCACGAAAGCGUGGGGAGCAAACAGG
This 253-nucleotide ribosomal RNA is filed under the name uncultured bacterium. Its description in RNAcentral is "partial 16S ribosomal RNA". It matches the Rfam family "Bacterial small subunit ribosomal RNA", at positions 524 to 776 of the family's 1533-position model. The record is from RNAcentral.